ACAAAGAAGAGUUUGAUCCUGGCUCAGGAUGAACGCUAGCGAUAGGCCUAACACAUGCAAGUCGAGGGGCAGCAUGGCGGUAGCAAUACUGCCGAUGGCGACCGGCGCACGGGUGAGUAACGCGUAUGCAACCUACCUACCACAGGGGGAUAGCCCGUUGAAAGACGGAUUAAUACCGCAUAAUACAGGGAUUCCGCAUGGAAAUAUUUGUUAAAGAUUUAUCGGUGGUAGAUGGGCAUGCGUUCCAUUAGUUAGUUGGUGAGGUAACGGCUCACCAAGGCAGCGAUGGAUAGGGGAACUGAGAGGUUUAUCCCCCACACUGGUACUGAGACACGGACCAGACUCCUACGGGAGGCAGCAGUGAGGAAUAUUGGUCAA
This 378-nucleotide ribosomal RNA is filed under the name Dysgonomonas sp. PH5-37. RNAcentral's name for it is "Bacterial small subunit ribosomal RNA". It matches the Rfam family "Bacterial small subunit ribosomal RNA", at positions 1 to 371 of the family's 1533-position model. The record is from Rfam by way of RNAcentral. Lineage: Bacteria; Pseudomonadati; Bacteroidota; Bacteroidia; Bacteroidales; Dysgonomonadaceae.